GGAGAAGCAAGAAAUGAGUAGGCAACUCGUGGCACUUGAUGCUGAUGCUUCUUUGAGAAGGUUGCUUUUCAUCUAUAUUCUUAUUUCCUUUUCGCUUUUCAUUUCAUAUUUCAGGACCCGCUAGUUGCAAAGAUCAGAUUUUUCAACUUUGACUCUCCUAGUAACCUCAAGAAUAUAGAGGUGCAAACCAAAUGAUGAAACUAUGCCUCUGGUGAGACGAGUUUUGAGAGAGCGAUUCAUUGGUACCCACUA
Molecule: unclassified non-coding RNA, 252 nt
Filed under: Hevea brasiliensis (rubber tree)
Lineage: Eukaryota; Viridiplantae; Streptophyta; Magnoliopsida; Malpighiales; Euphorbiaceae
Source: RNAcentral